CGGCGGACGGGUGAGUAACGCGUAGGAACCUACCUAAUAGACUGGGAUAGCCCAGAGAAAUUUGGAUUAAUACCGAAUACGCCCUACGGGGGAAAGCAGGGGAUCUUCGGACCUUGCGCUAUUAGAUGGGCCUGCGUGAGAUUAGCUAGUUGGUGGGGUAAAGGCCCACCAAGGCGACGAUCUCUAGCUGGUCUGAGAGGAUGAUCAGCCACACUGGAACUGAGACACGGUCCAG
This 235-nucleotide ribosomal RNA is filed under the name uncultured bacterium. RNAcentral's name for it is "partial 16S ribosomal RNA". It matches the Rfam family "Bacterial small subunit ribosomal RNA", at positions 96 to 334 of the family's 1533-position model. The record is from RNAcentral.